RNAcentral lists this ribosomal RNA (301 nucleotides) under uncultured bacterium. Its description in RNAcentral is "partial 16S ribosomal RNA". It matches the Rfam family "Bacterial small subunit ribosomal RNA", at positions 509 to 809 of the family's 1533-position model. The record is from RNAcentral.
CAGUAGCCGCGGUAAUACGUAGGUGGCAAGCGUUGUCCGGAAUUAUUGGGCGUAAAGGGCUCGCGGGCGGUUUCUUAAGUCUGAUGUGAAAGCCCCCGGCUCAACCGGGGAGGGUCAUUGGAAACUGGGAAACUUGAGUGCAGAAGAGGAGAGUGGAAUUCCACGUGUAGCGGUGAAAUGCGUAGAGAUGUGGAGGAACACCAGUGGCGAAGGCGACUCUCUGGUCUGUAACUGACGCUGAGGAGCGAAAGCGUGGGGAGCGAACAGGAUUAGAUACCCGAGUAGUCCCUGUCUCUUAUAA